AAAAGAUAUGUCCACAGCCUAAUCCGCAGAACCUGUAAGUGUGACCUUAUUUGGAAGAAAGAUCUUUGCAGAAGUAAUUAAAUUAAGAAUAUCAAGAUGAGAUUGUCCUGGAUUAUCUAGAUGGACCUUAAAUCCAGUGAUAAGUGUCCUUAUAAGAGGCACACAGAAGACAGAACUACAGACAGAAGAGGAGAAGUGAAGACAGAGGCAGAGAUUAGAGUUAUGUGGCUGCAAGUCAAGGGUCAUCUGGAUCCACAAGAAGGUGGAAGAAGAAAGAAAGUAUUCUCCUUGAAAUCUUUGGAGGGAGGGUGCUCUUUGAUGUAACGCCAAAUGGAUCUACAAAGGAUGUGGAGCAGUAUGUGUGAUCCUUUUAUUCAUUGAAAAGGAAAGGGCAGCACGAG
Molecule: long non-coding RNA, 401 nt
Filed under: Homo sapiens (human)
Lineage: Eukaryota; Metazoa; Chordata; Mammalia; Primates; Hominidae
Description: HSALNT0335657
Source: RNAcentral